Molecule: ribosomal RNA, 301 nt
Filed under: uncultured bacterium
Lineage: Bacteria
Description: partial 16S ribosomal RNA
Rfam family: Bacterial small subunit ribosomal RNA
Source: RNAcentral
CAGCAGCCGCGGUAAUACGGAAGGUCCAGGCGUUAUCCGGAUUUAUUGGGUUUAAAGGGAGUGUAGGCGGUCUGUUAAGCGUGUUGUGAAAUUUAGGUGCUCAACAUCUAACUUGCAGCGCGAACUGGCGGACUUGAGUGCACGCAACGUAUGCGGAAUUCAUGGUGUAGCGGUGAAAUGCUUAAAUAUCAUGACGAACUCCGAUUGCGAAGGCAGCGUACGGGAGUGUUACUGACGCUUAAGCUCGAAGGUGCGGGUAUCGAACAGGAUUAGAGACCCCUGUAGUCCCUGUCUCUUAUAC